AUUUUUUUGGUUUCUAGAUUUUUCUAUUUUCUCUCUCUCGCCUACGUGCGAUUCUUCUUCAUCUCCUUCUCUAUUUUUUUGGUUAAAAAUCUCAUAUUAAUCCUUAGUUUUAGUUUUAACCUUUGUAGAUGGCCUUGCUACAGUAAUUUGAGGCCUUGUUUUAGUCUCUUUGGUUUUUUCAAUUGUGAAAUGGAGUGUUUAAGGUUAAGUGGUUGAAGGAUUGGUUAUGGUUUUGGAGAUCCAUGUGAUUGAUGAACAAAACCUAUGUUUUUUGAGUGGUUGAUUUACACUAUACUCUCUUGGAAGGUUAUUUUUCACUAGAGGAACGGGUUCAAUUCCUGAGCCCCCUAGAUUAGACAAUUUUCGGCUGAACUGGGUCAACAAUCUUGUGUUUUUUACGUUUUAUAGUUUUUUUUUUUAUUUCUUGGGCAUUUUGGUGUUUAUUAAUAAGUGUUUUCAUCAAGAAAAACCCAACACUUUUCUUAUUCUACAAGUAGAAUAUUUGAUUGUCUCUGAUGAAUGAUUUGCUACCAUUCUCUAUGUUUAGGAGUGGUGUGUUUCACCUUUUACGGCUUUAUUGUGCCAUGGUACUCCAGUGUCCAACCUAUUAUUUCUAAAAAUAGUUAUGUUGGAUGAUGUUGUUCUCUUUGAUACCUUAUUCAUCUGUUUGUCCUUCAUAUUAAGGGAGUAUCUGUGGAGUGGGUUAUGAUCUUGCCAAUUAUUACAGAACUAAGGGGUUCCACCUCUGAGUAUUCUUUCAUUUGCAAAUACAUUGUUCUAAUGAAAAAUGAAGAUUGUUCUAAUGAAAAAUGAAGAUACAUGUCCAAUUACUGUCGACUUUGCUUCCUGAACAUAUCUUAUUUUUGACCGAUUUCCUCUUCCAUUCUCUUUGGAUCUUAGCUUACAAAUUUGGGAUAUUGAUUGUUUUCCGGUUGUUAUGACUAUAGUUUGGGAAGAAAAUUCAUCCUAAGUGUGUUGUUUCUCACCUGACGAAUAAUUUCUUGUUUCUUGCUUAGUCGAUGAAUUUAUUGAGGUUUGAUUAUUACAAAUUCCUUCAUUAGUACAAAUUGAGGUUUUUUAUUACAAAAUCCAUAAAUCGUUAGAAAUUUCUAGCUACUCCUUGGUUGCUCAUUUUAGAUCAUGCUAGGUAUGGGAUCACAUAAGUGGAAACCUUAAGAAGGAUCUUCAAUAUCAGGCUCAUGUAAGUUGUGUGUUCUUCUAAUUUUCAUUCUCUUUCCCCGUCUUAGUUAUUUUAAUUUGUUAAACCUAUUCUAUUGUGCUUGCAUGAUAUAACUCUGGAUCUGUGAGGCUUAAAUUACUUAAUAAUAUGGUGUUAUAAUGCAACAAAUUGGAUAAAAAAUAGUUUAUUAAGGAAGUGAUUUUCGAUGUUUUAUCAUCAUUGUAUCAAGAGAAUUGCCAUUCACAGUUAACUAAAUAUAAGUUGGCACUAAAUGGUUGACAUGUAGGGCUUGAAACAAACUGCAAUAUGUUGAAUUCUUAGUUCUAAUGGAUCUUUUUCUUACCUCUCCUUUUUCUUAUUUGUUCAUUACCCCUUUAGAGGGGCUAAGUUAUUUAUUUUUCUUUAAUCAUAUAAAUGGAUGAGAUAAUAGAUACACAUCUUCUUGUCUGUUGCAUUUGUUGUUUUCCAGAUUGGCAAAUUAAUUAUUACUAACAUGUCCACAUGGUUCAUGACUUACAGCAUUAACUAUUUUCAAUUUAAUUCUCAACUCAUAAAAUGUUAGUCUUUUUUGGUCGAUGGUCAUUGUAUUAUGAAUACUUAGUGUCAUUGUUUUGUUCUUCAUGAGUUUACAGUUAAAUGUAUUAUGUUUUUGUAAUGAUUGAAUCAUUUUAUGGUUAGGAAUAUUGGAUACAAUUUCGUGAAAUCACAAUUGUGACUUUCUUGUUUGUGAUGCAGGAAGUUCUGAAUCAACUGAGGUCGAGAUGUCAGAUUGCAUGUUGAGAUACCAUGAGAUGGCGGAUUGGCGCAAAGAUGGAAAGUGAUUGCAACACUUUCCUUAAUUGGGGCAAUUUCGAAACGUUUUUGGUAAUUUGGUCAUAACUUUGGCUACGGUUAUCAGAAUAGCUAUUAUAAUCCCAAUUCGAAAAGCUCUUUUCAGUACACACGUUGUUGUCAAGCCAUACUCAAUGGGCAUUAAUUUCGAGGCCAAAAUUUGUUGUUCUCCCGUUCAAAUUUCAAUUUUUAGUUAUUUUUUUCAUUUAUUAUAAUAUUUCGUUUGAUUUUUUCUAGUUGAUUUCAAAUCUGAUUUGAGCCAAAUUUUUGGCAAGUUCCUUCUUUUAUUCCAUAUUUUAUUUUGGUGUGGUUUUCGGGAUUUUGCCAUUUUUGGUAAAAUUUCCAUAAUUUCAUAUUUUUUAGCUAUUUAACCCGACUUGUGAUUAAUUUUCGUAUUCUGCAUUUUAAUAAAGUUAAGUUGAAUUUCAGAAAAUUCUCUCUAUUUCUUGGGCUUUUUCCAUCGUAUUCUUCCUGUGAAUUAUCUAUUGCAACUAGCCUGCAGGAUAAUCACUAUCUCACCCGACGUCAGUUUGUAACAUGGCAGGUAAACUUUUAUGAUGCACAAUGAUGUUGUCUUCUCAGUUGAUUUUAGUAGAGACUCUGAGAUGCUUGCAUCUGGAUCACAAGAUGGAAAAAUAAAGGUUAAGCUUGCUUUCAUUUUCUGCUUUAAUGUGAUUAUUCUCAUGUUGCUUUGUCUUCUAAUUUCCCUAACAUCUAAAAAGAGUUAAAAAAAAGAAGCAUCUAGACUUAUUCAACACAAAAUAACUUAAAGAAGUUAGAGAAUAUUACUUUAUGGUGAGAUAUUAUCCUCCAAAGAAUAUUUUUGGUAUAGCCGGGGAGUAUCAUGACAUCCAUUCUAAUUUGUUGCAAGGUUUUGAAGGACCCUCUAGUGGCUUGUAUUAUACAAUUUGAAAUUCACAAUUGUAAAUCUAUUUAGUAGAUGUUGUUCUCAUCUGUUUGGUUAUAGGUUUAGCGUAUUAGGACAGGUUAAUGCUAACACCGACUGGAACAUGCUCAUUCCCAGGGUGUCAUGAGCCUUGUCUUUUCACGAGAUGGAAGUCGGUUGUUAAGUACAGCAUUUGACAGCACAGCAAGGUUUGAACUCUUAGAGAUGGCUUUUGAAUUGAGCUAUAGUAUCCCCUUAAUCUCAUGCCCUCCACCACCCAAGGAAAAAAAAAAUCAGAAAAGGAUAAGAAGGAUUGUAGAUUCUUGAAAAGGUUCUCAUGAUCCUUACUUUUCUUAUAUUAUACAGAAUUCACGGAUUAAGUCAGGCAAGAUGUUGAAGGAAUUUCAUGGCCAUAUAUCUUAUGUUAACGAUGCCAUCUUUACAAGUGAUGGCUCUCUCGUCAUCUUUGUAUCAAGUGAUUGCACAAUGAAAGUAAGUUAACCUAGCUAUCUAUUAUUAAUUGAGGCCAAAUUUUUCAAGUUUGCUAAUCAUCUACAUGCUGAAUAAAACGAAUGGCAUCUAUAGGUUUAGGAUGU
This 3493-nucleotide long non-coding RNA is filed under the name Olea europaea subsp. europaea. The record is from RNAcentral. Lineage: Eukaryota; Viridiplantae; Streptophyta; Magnoliopsida; Lamiales; Oleaceae.